This 232-nucleotide long non-coding RNA is filed under the name Elaeis guineensis (African oil palm). RNAcentral's name for it is "long non-coding RNA (EGUI_LNC023652)". Lineage: Eukaryota; Viridiplantae; Streptophyta; Magnoliopsida; Arecales; Arecaceae. The record is from RNAcentral.
GACUUGGUCGAUAUGUCGCGAACGCGACGUUAGUCGCAUUGGCAUUUUGCUUUUCUUGGCCGGAGCCAAGUCGGUAAGUUAGCCAGUCGUCUUGCUCGAGAGUUGACUAUGGAAGGAGCGUGGCUUCAACUUAAGGGGGUUUCAUCGCCAUCGCCGGCCUUCCACCAGCAUAGAUAAGUCGGUCCUCAUAAGAGUCCGACAUGUCGUCGCAGAUUCCUGACAGAAUGUCGGG